RNAcentral lists this ribosomal RNA (1343 nucleotides) under uncultured bacterium. RNAcentral's name for it is "16S ribosomal RNA". It matches the Rfam family "Bacterial small subunit ribosomal RNA", at positions 28 to 1378 of the family's 1533-position model. The record is from RNAcentral.
GACGAACGCUGGCGGCGUGCUUAACACAUGCAAGUCGAACGGAAAGGCCCUGCUUUUGUGGGGUGCUCGAGUGGCGAACGGGUGAGUAACACGUGAGUAACCUGCCCUUGACUUUGGGAUAACUUCAGGAAACUGGGGCUAAUACCGGAUAGGAGCUCCUGCUGCAUGGUGGGGGUUGGAAAGUUUCGGCGGUUGGGGAUGGACUCGCGGCUUAUCAGCUUGUUGGUGGGGUAGUGGCUUACCAAGGCUUUGACGGGUAGCCGGCCUGAGAGGGUGACCGGCCACAUUGGGACUGAGAUACGGCCCAGACUCCUACGGGAGGCAGCAGUGGGGAAUAUUGCACAAUGGGCGGAAGCCUGAUGCAGCAACGCCGCGUGCGGGAUGACGGCCUUCGGGUUGUAAACCGCUUUCGCCUGUGACGAAGCGUGAGUGACGGUAAUGGGUAAAGAAGCACCGGCUAACUACGUGCCAGCAGCCGCGGUGAUACGUAGGGUGCGAGCGUUGUCCGGAUUUAUUGGGCGUAAAGGGCUCGUAGGUGGUCGAUCGCGUCGGAAGUGUAAUCUUGGGGCUUAACCCUGAGCGUGCUUUCGAUACGGGUUGACUUGAGGAAGGUAGGGGAGAAUGGAAUUCCUGGUGGAGCGGUGGAAUGCGCAGAUAUCAGGAGGAACACCAGUGGCGAAGGCGGUUCUCUGGGCCUUUCCUGACGCUGAGGGGCGAAAGCGUGGGGAGCGAACAGGCUUAGAUACCCUGGUAGUCCACGCUGUAAACGGUGGGUACUAGGUGUGGGGUCCAUUCCACGGGUUCCGUGCCGUAGCUAACGCUUUAAGUACCCCGCCUGGGGAGUACGGCCGCAAGGCUAAAACUCAAAGGAAUUGACGGGGCCCCGCACAAGCGGCGGAGCAUGCGGAUUAAUUCGAUGCAACGCGUAGAACCUUACCUGGGUUUGACAUGGAUCGGGAGCGCUCAGAGAUGGGUGUGCCUCUUUUGGGGUCGGUUCACAGGUGGUGCAUGGCUGUCGUCAGCUCGUGUCGUGAGAUGUUGGGUUAAGUCCCGCAACGAGCGCAACCCUUGUUCACUGUUGCCAGCACGUUAUGGUGGGGACUCAGUGGAGACCGCCGGGGUCAACUCGGAGGAAGGUGGGGAUGACGUCAAGUCAUCAUGCCCCUUAUGUCCAGGGCUUCACGCAUGCUACAAUGGCUGGUACAGAGAGUGGCGAGCCUGUGAGGGUGAGCGAAUCUCGGAAAGCCGGUCUCAGUUCGGAUUGGGGUCUGCAACUCGACCUCAUGAAGUCGGAGUCGCUAGUAAUCGCAGAUCAGCAACGCUGCGGUGAAUACGUUCCCGGG